GCUGGAAUUGCUAGUAAUGGCAGGUCAGCAUACUGCCGUGAACACGUUCUCGGGCCUUGUACACACCGCCCGUCACACCAUGAGAGUUGGAAAUACCCGAAGCCUGUGAGCUAACUUAAAGAGGCAGCAGUCGAAGGUAGAGCCAAUGAUUGGGGUGAAGUCGUAACAAGGUAGC
This 175-nucleotide ribosomal RNA is filed under the name uncultured bacterium. RNAcentral's name for it is "partial 16S ribosomal RNA". It matches the Rfam family "Bacterial small subunit ribosomal RNA", at positions 1325 to 1500 of the family's 1533-position model. The record is from RNAcentral.